UGGGGAAUAUUGGACAAUGGGCGAAAGCCUGAUCCAGCCAUGCCGCGUGAGUGAUGAAGGCCUUAGGGUUGUAAAGCUCUUUUACCUGGGAAGAUAAUGACGGUACCAGGAGAAUAAGCCCCGGCUAACUUCGUGCCAGCAGCCGCGGUAAUACGAAGGGGGCUAGCGUUGUUCGGAAUCACUGGGCGUAAAGCGCACGUAGGCGGAUUCUUAAGUCAGGGGUGAAAUCCCGAGGCUCAACCUCGGAACUGCCUUUGAUACUGGGGAUCUUGAGUUCGGGAGAGGUGAGUGGAAUUGCGAGUGUAGAGGUGAAAUUCGUAGAUAUUCGCAAGAACACCAGUGGCGAAGGCGGCUCACUGGCCCGAUACUGACGCUGAGGUGCGAAAGCGUGGGGAGCAAACAGGAUUAGAUACCCGGGUAGUCC
This 424-nucleotide ribosomal RNA is filed under the name uncultured bacterium. RNAcentral describes it as "bacterial SSU rRNA". It matches the Rfam family "Bacterial small subunit ribosomal RNA", at positions 355 to 796 of the family's 1533-position model. The record is from RNAcentral.